AUAUGUAGGUGGCAAGCGUUGUCCGGAUUUAUUGGGCGUAAAGCGAGCGCAGGCGGUCUCUUAAGUCUGAUGUGAAAGCCCCCGGCUCAACCGGGGAGGGUCAUUGGAAACUGGGAGACUUGAGUGCAGAAGAGGAGAGUGGAAUUCCAUGUGUAGCGGUGAAAUGCGUAGAUAUAUGGAGGAACACCAGUGGCGAAGGCGGCUCUCUGGUCUGUAACUGACGCUGAGGCUCGAAAGCGUGGGGAGCAAACAGGAUUAGAUACCCUGGUAGUCCACGCCGUAAACGAUGAGUGCUAAGUGUUGGAGGGUUUCCGCCCUUCAGUGCUGCAGCUAACGCAUUAAGCACUCCGCCUGGGGAGUACGGCCGCAAGGCUGAAACUCAAAUGAAUUGACGGGG
RNAcentral lists this ribosomal RNA (397 nucleotides) under uncultured bacterium. Its description in RNAcentral is "partial 16S ribosomal RNA". It matches the Rfam family "Bacterial small subunit ribosomal RNA", at positions 523 to 918 of the family's 1533-position model. The record is from RNAcentral.